This 524-nucleotide ribosomal RNA is filed under the name uncultured bacterium. RNAcentral describes it as "bacterial SSU rRNA". It matches the Rfam family "Bacterial small subunit ribosomal RNA", at positions 984 to 1509 of the family's 1533-position model. The record is from RNAcentral.
ACAUCCAGAGAACUUGGCAGAGAUGCCCUGGUGCCUUCGGGACCUCUGAGACAGGUGCUGCAUGGCUGUCGUCAGCUCGUGUUGUGAAAUGUUGGAUUAAGUCCGCAACGAGCGCAACCCCUAUCCUUUGUUGCCAGCGAUUCGGUCGGGAACUCAAAGGAGACUGCCGGUGAUAAACCGGAGGAAGGUGGGGAUGACGUCAAGUCAUCAUGGCCCUUACGAGUAGGGCUACACACGUGCUACAAUGGCGCAUACAAAGAGAAGCGACCUCGCGAGAGCAAGCGGACCUCAUAAAGUGCGUCGUAGUCCGGAUCGGAGUCUGCAACUCGACUCCGUGAAGUCGGAAUCGCUAGUAAUCGUAGAUCAGAAUGCUACGGUGAAUACGUUCCCGGGCCUUGUACACACCGCCCGUCACACCAUGGGAGUGGGUUGCAAAAGAAGUAGAUAGCUUAACCUUCGGGAGGGCGUUUACCACUUUGUGAUUCAUGACUGGGGUGAAGUCGUAACAAGGUAAGCGUAGACGU